Molecule: long non-coding RNA, 492 nt
Organism: Lates calcarifer (barramundi perch)
Lineage: Eukaryota; Metazoa; Chordata; Actinopteri; Centropomidae
Exons: 3
Source: RefSeq, a predicted model, not a curated record
AUAUAAUUUGUUCACCGACUCAGAACGAUACGGCAUCGUCUUCCACACGAGGACCAUUGUCAACAGCUAAAAGGAGGAAAAUCAGUGCAGCAGGACCAACCCAGAGGGUGCAGCAUCCAGGUUGAACAUCAAAAUAAGAGGGGAAAUAAACUUUCUUCCCAAUUACCCCAGUGGAGAGACUAAGGACACACGGGGAAGACAAAUGCUUGAGAUGGCAGAGCAGUUCAAGAUGACACUGAUCAAGAGAGGGACAUGAUUCUGAUUCACCAACAUAUGCAGCACACCUUUGCACUCAGGUGUGAAGAAAUUGUGAGUUUAGCUCCUCCCAUUGCCAAAAUAAAAGAGAGAUGGCCUGCGCUGUUUUAUGAAGCCCAGUUCUACUGUGAAUUCCAUAGGAUCACCAAUCAAAAUCUUCCAUUUUACUUCUUUGCUGCACUUGACAAAUAUACACCACAGCUGCUAUUAGGUAUUAAUAUCUUGAUGCAUUACAUC